Molecule: transfer RNA, 85 nt
Filed under: Felis catus (domestic cat)
Lineage: Eukaryota; Metazoa; Chordata; Mammalia; Carnivora; Felidae
Also listed under: 2 other names
Rfam family: tRNA
About the family: Transfer RNA (tRNA) molecules are approximately 80 nucleotides in length. Their secondary structure includes four short double-helical elements and three loops (D, anti-codon, and T loops). Further hydrogen bonds mediate the characteristic L-shaped molecular structure. tRNAs have two regions of fundamental functional importance: the anti-codon, which is responsible for specific mRNA codon recognition, and the 3' end, to which the tRNAs corresponding amino acid is attached (by aminoacyl-tRNA synthetases). tRNAs cope with the degeneracy of the genetic code in two manners: having more than one tRNA (with a specific anti-codon) for a particular amino acid; and 'wobble' base-pairing, i.e. permitting non-standard base-pairing at the 3rd anti-codon position.
Source: Rfam by way of RNAcentral
GCCCGGGUGGCUCAGUGGGUUGAGCGUCCGACUUCAGCUCAGGCCAUGAUCUCACAGCUCGUGAGUUCAAGCCCCACAUUGGGCU